RNAcentral lists this long non-coding RNA (810 nucleotides) under Carica papaya (papaya). RNAcentral describes it as "long non-coding RNA (CPAP_LNC008402)". Lineage: Eukaryota; Viridiplantae; Streptophyta; Magnoliopsida; Brassicales; Caricaceae. The record is from RNAcentral.
CUUCAUGCGGAACGGGCUCGGGAACAACGUUUUCCUGAUAUGAAAUUGUUAAAUAAGGAAUGAGCUACACCAGCCCAGUAAAGACAUCACACUAUCUCACCACCACGGAAGUAAAGGUGGGUAGAAAACAAAAAUGACCAAUGUAGUAUAAUUUAUAACAAACUCGUUUAUUAACAUAAAAACCUUUACUGUCUACUUACCUCGGUGAGAUCCAUGAAAACAACAUAUGAAAGCAAUAACAUUAUCAUCAUCAUGAAAUCAUAUAGACUUUAUAACAUAACACUUACCACAACUUUGCAUUUCAAUCAUUAAACAACAUAUUUUCUUCUUUUACCAACCUACUAGUAUCCAUGGGGAUCCAUACGGGGUCCCCGCUACCCGUGAACCAUUAACAUUAAUAACCUGAUUCCAAGGCCGUCCCCGUACCCCGUCCGGUAUGGGCGCCAAAAUCAUGAACCUCAAUACUCCGUCCGGUAUGAGGGUGAAACGGGCCGUCCCCAUACCCUGUCCGGUAUGAGCGCCAAAACACAUAAGGUCUUCAUACCCCGUCUAAUAUGAGAUACCACGUUCCCGGUAGGGUUCCCUACGGACCCGGUCCGUCCACCAUCUCUCAGGAUAUUUAGUCAGGCUGUCCACAUUAUACCUCUUGCCUUUUUCCUUGAUCUCUAUCAUCCAAUCAUACACAACAUGUAAACCAGUAAUUGACACCAAACAAGACAACACAGUAUCGGAUUCACCAUAAUACAAACCAUAAUAAAAAAAACUAUGAUUCAUGCAUACGAGACCAUAACAUAAUUACAUUAAAUAUCA